RNAcentral lists this ribosomal RNA (301 nucleotides) under uncultured bacterium. Its description in RNAcentral is "partial 16S ribosomal RNA". It matches the Rfam family "Bacterial small subunit ribosomal RNA", at positions 509 to 807 of the family's 1533-position model. The record is from RNAcentral.
CAGUAGCCGCGGUAAUACGGAGGGUGCAAACGUUGCUCGGAAUUAUUGGGCGUAAAGCGCAUGUAGGCGGCCGAAUAAGUCGGGUGUGAAAGCCCAGGGCUUAACCCUGGAAGUGUACUCGAAACUGCUCGGCUUGAAUAUGGAAGAGGGUCGCGGAAUUCCCGGUGUAGAGGUGAAAUUCGUAGAUAUCGGGAGGAACACCAGUGGCGAAGGCGGCGACCUGGGCCAAUAUCGACGCUGAGAUACGAAAGCGUGGGGAGCAAACAGGAUUAGAUACCCCCGUAGUCCCUGUCUCUUAUAC